AUGGCAUUCUGCAGCCCACACAGCACCACAUCCCUGCGCUCCCCAUGCACCACCAUCCCAAACUCUGGCUUCAGGCAGAACCAAGUCAUCCUCUUCACGACCAGAAGCAGCAGGAGGAGUAACACGAGGCAUGGGGCAAGGACCUUCCAGGUCUCAUGCGCAGUUGAGCAGCCAAUAGUGAUUGGCCUGGCAGCAGACUCGGGAUGUGGGAAAUCCACCUUCAUGCGCCGGCUCACAAGCGUGUUUGGAGGUGCUGCAGAGCCACCCAAGGGCGGCAACCCAGACUCCAACACGCUCAUCAGCGACACGACGACGGUCAUAUGCCUUGAUGACUACCAUUCCUUGGACAGAACCGGGAGGAAGGAGAAAGGUGUGACCGCCCUGGACCCCAAGGCAAACGACUUUGAUCUCAUGUAUGAGCAGGUGAAGGCAAUCAAGGAAGGCAAGGCUAUUGAGAAGCCAAUCUACAACCACGUCACUGGCCUCCUCGACCCGGCGGAGCUCAUCCAGCCCCCCAAGAUCUUCGUCAUCGAGGGUUUGCACCCAAUGUACGAUGAACGUGUGAGAGAGCUCCUUGAUUUCAGCAUCUACUUAGACAUCAGCAAUGAGGUUAAGUUCGCAUGGAAAAUUCAGAGAGACAUGGCAGAGCGUGGGCACAGUCUUGAAAGCAUCAAGGCUAGCAUCGAAGCCAGGAAACCUGAUUUUGAUGCCUUUAUUGAUCCGCAGAAGCAAUACGCUGAUGCUGUGAUUGAAGUUCUGCCAACCCAGCUGAUUCCUGAUGACAACGAAGGAAAGGUGCUGCGAGUUAAAUUGAUCAUGAAAGAAGGCAUUAAGUUCUUCAACCCGGUUUACCUCUUCGAUGAAGGAUCAACCAUCAACUGGAUCCCUUGUGGAAGAAAGCUUACAUGCUCUUAUCCUGGCAUCAAAUUUUCCUAUGGCCCAGACACUUACUUUGGCCAAGAGGUAUCGGUGCUGGAGAUGGAUGGGCAAUUUGACAGACUAGAUGAACUCAUCUAUGUUGAGAGCCACCUAAGCAACCUCUCAACCAAGUUCUACGGGGAGGUGACACAGCAAAUGCUAAAGCAUGCAGACUUCCCAGGCAGCAACAAUGGAACAGGUCUCUUCCAGACCAUUGUAGGACUGAAGAUUAGAGAUCUCUAUGAACAGAUCAUCGCUGAGAGGGCCGGCGUUCCUGCUGAAGCAGCAAAAGUUUGA
Molecule: ribosomal RNA, 1215 nt
Filed under: Triticum aestivum (bread wheat)
Lineage: Eukaryota; Viridiplantae; Streptophyta; Magnoliopsida; Poales; Poaceae
Description: partial small subunit ribosomal RNA
Source: RNAcentral